CAGAGGGGGCAAGCGUUGUUCGGAAUUACUGGGCGUAAAGGGCGCGUAGGCGGCCUGCUAAGUCGAACGUGAAAUCCCUGGGCUCAACCCAGGAACUGCGUCCGAUACUGGUUGGCUUGAAUCCGGGAGAGGGAUGUGGAAUUCCAGGUGUAGCGGUGAAAUGCGUAGAUAUCUGGAGGAACACCGGUGGCGAAGGCGACAUCCUGGACCGGUAUUGACGCUGAGGCGCGAAAGCCAGGGGAGCAAAACGGGAUUAGAUACCCCGGUAGUCCUGGCCCUAAACGAUGAAUGCUUGGUGUGGCGGGUAUCGAUCCCUGCCGUGCCGAAGCUAACGCAUUAAGCAUUCCGCCUGGGGAGUACGGUCGCAAGGCUG
This 373-nucleotide ribosomal RNA is filed under the name uncultured organism. RNAcentral describes it as "bacterial SSU rRNA". It matches the Rfam family "Bacterial small subunit ribosomal RNA", at positions 526 to 896 of the family's 1533-position model. The record is from RNAcentral.